GGGAAAAAUUUAUUGCUAUUAGAUGAGCCUAUAUUAGAUUAGCUAGUUGGUGGAGUAAUAGCCUACCAAGGCAAUGAUCUAUAGCUGAUCUGAGAGGAUGAUCAGCCACACUGGAACUGAGAUACGGUCCAGACUCCUACGGGAGGCAGCAGUGGGGAAUAUUGGACAAUGGGCGAAAGCCUGAUCCAGCCAUGCCGCAUGAGUGAAGAAGGCCUUUGGGUUGUAAAGCUCUUUUAGUGAGGAAGAUAAUGACGGUACUCACAGAAGAAGUCCUGGCUAACUCCGUGCCAGCAGCCGCGGUAAUACGGAGAGGGCUAGCGUUAUUCGGAAUUAUUGGGCGUAAAGGGCGCGUAGGCGGAUUAGUAAGUUAAAAGUGAAAUCCCAAGGCUCAACCUUGGAAUUGCUUUUAAAACUGCUAAUCUAGAGAUUGAAAGAGGAUAGAGGAAUUCCUAGUGUAGAGGUGAAAUUCGUAAAUAUUAGGAGGAACACCAGUGGCGAAGGCGUCUAUCUGGUUCAAAUCUGACGCUGAGGCGCGAAGGCGUGGGGAGCAAACAGGAUUAGAUACCCUGGUAGUCCACGCUGUAAACGAUGAAUGUUAAAUAUGGGAAGUUUUACUUUCUGUAUUACAGCUAACGCGUUAAACAUUCCGCCUGGGGACUACGGUCGCAAGAUUAAAACUCAAAGGAAUUGACG
Molecule: ribosomal RNA, 693 nt
Filed under: Wolbachia endosymbiont of Venturia canescens
Lineage: Bacteria; Pseudomonadati; Pseudomonadota; Alphaproteobacteria; Rickettsiales; Anaplasmataceae
Description: bacterial SSU rRNA
Rfam family: Bacterial small subunit ribosomal RNA
Source: RNAcentral